GCCCGUUUAGCAUAGUCGUUAUUGCGCGGCACUUGUACUGCGAGGUCCAUGCCGAGGUCGCUAGUUCAAAUCUGGCAACGGGCA
This 84-nucleotide transfer RNA is filed under the name Puccinia triticina 1-1 BBBD Race 1. RNAcentral describes it as "Puccinia triticina tRNA PTTG_20032". It matches the Rfam family "tRNA". From Rfam's summary of the family: Transfer RNA (tRNA) molecules are approximately 80 nucleotides in length. Their secondary structure includes four short double-helical elements and three loops (D, anti-codon, and T loops). Further hydrogen bonds mediate the characteristic L-shaped molecular structure. tRNAs have two regions of fundamental functional importance: the anti-codon, which is responsible for specific mRNA codon recognition, and the 3' end, to which the tRNAs corresponding amino acid is attached (by aminoacyl-tRNA synthetases). tRNAs cope with the degeneracy of the genetic code in two manners: having more than one tRNA (with a specific anti-codon) for a particular amino acid; and 'wobble' base-pairing, i.e. permitting non-standard base-pairing at the 3rd anti-codon position. The record is from Rfam by way of RNAcentral. Lineage: Eukaryota; Fungi; Basidiomycota; Pucciniomycetes; Pucciniales; Pucciniaceae.